Hemibagrus wyckioides is the source of this 148-nucleotide small nuclear RNA. RefSeq annotates it as U12 minor spliceosomal RNA. The transcript has a single exon. The record is from RefSeq and is a predicted model, not a curated record. Lineage: Eukaryota; Metazoa; Chordata; Actinopteri; Siluriformes; Bagridae.
AUGCCUUAAACUGAUGAGUGAGAAAAAUAACGGUGCGGGGCGAUGCUUGUGUCCCCGUGCCUACUCACGAUCCGUAUUUUUGAAGGGGUACAGGUCUAUUCUGAUCUGUUUACUUUGCAGACUGUCUCGCGGGUCAAAGAUCUGCCCU